Molecule: ribosomal RNA, 468 nt
Filed under: uncultured bacterium
Lineage: Bacteria
Description: partial 16S ribosomal RNA
Rfam family: Bacterial small subunit ribosomal RNA
Source: RNAcentral
GACGAACGCUGGCGGCGGGCUUAACACAUGCAAGUCGAACGGAAAGGCCCUGCGUUUGUGGGGUGCUCGAGUGGCGAACGGGUGAGUAACACGUGAGUAACCGGCCCUUGACUUUGGGAUAACUUCAGGAAACUGGGGCUAAUACCGGAUAGGAGCUCCUGCUGCAGGGGGGGGGUUGGAAAGUUUCGGCGGGUGGGGAUGGACGCGCGGCUUAUCAGCUUGUUGGUGGGGGAGGGGCUUACCAAGGCUUUGACGGGUAGCCGGCCUGAGAGGGUGACCGGCCACAUUGGGACUGAGAUACGGCCCAGACUCCUACGGGAGGCAGCAGUGGGGAAUAUUGCACAAUGGGCGGAAGCCUGAUGCAGCAACGCCGCGUGCGGGAUGACGGCCUUCGGGUUGUAAACCGCUUUCGCCUGUGACGAAGCGUGAGUGACGGUAAUGGGUAAAGAAGCACCGGCUAACUACGUG